CGAAAGGCAAAAGUAGAAUCUGGAAUAGAAUGCGGUGCCCCCGCUAGAACCUAGGAUAUAAGCCAAGAAAUAUUUGCUCAGAAUUCGGGCGAAUCAGUAUAUAAUCAUUUUGUCACAUUAAACAGUAUAUAUAAAGCAAUGGAGCGCAAUGCAAUUCAGCAUCAUAGCAGUAAAAGUCUCUGCGUGUUACGCAUUUCACACCGAAGUAACUUUAAUAGACUCUCAACUCUUUCUGUACAUGUGCCCAACUAAAACAAGCACUUUGUGAAUUGUGAUUUACUGCUAAUAAAAUCUAGCUAUCUAUCGACCUGAGAAGUGUUGAUAAAACCGCUCCUGAGAUUCACACGAAGCGGGGAGACGCAGCCGAGCUGCCUGUAAUCGGAGCCUAUGAACUGAAACAGAGCGACCGACAGAUUGUAACAACCAAACGAUCCCAAGAGGAAGGAAACCAGGGGGGGGAUGGAUUACCGGCUCAGCGACAGAGGCGGCGAGGUAGGCUGCGGCGGGCUCCGGUGGGAUCUCCGGCGCGCUGGGUUGGUAGAUCCCGGAUCGGACGGUGGAGUCUUAAAGCAGCGAGCAGCCGGGAGGGGGAGGAGUUUGGAUCUUGACGGAAGCCUCUGUCCU
Molecule: long non-coding RNA, 624 nt
Filed under: Triticum aestivum (bread wheat)
Lineage: Eukaryota; Viridiplantae; Streptophyta; Magnoliopsida; Poales; Poaceae
Description: long non-coding RNA (TAES_LNC006099)
Source: RNAcentral